RNAcentral lists this ribosomal RNA (473 nucleotides) under uncultured Desulfobulbus sp. Its description in RNAcentral is "bacterial SSU rRNA". It matches the Rfam family "Bacterial small subunit ribosomal RNA", at positions 917 to 1381 of the family's 1533-position model. Lineage: Bacteria; Pseudomonadati; Thermodesulfobacteriota; Desulfobulbia; Desulfobulbales; Desulfobulbaceae. The record is from RNAcentral.
GACGGGGCCGCACAAGCGUGGAGUAUGUGGUUUAAUUCGAUGCAACGCGAAGAACUACCUGGUCUUGACAUCCCGGAGACCCUUAGGAAACUAGGGGGUGCCUUCCAUCUGGAAGAAUCUGGAGACAGGUGCUGCAUGGCUGUCGUCAGCUCGUGUCGUGAGAUGUUGGGUUAAGUCCCGCAACGAGCGCAACCCUUGCCUUUAGUUGCCAGCAGUUCGGCUGGGCACUCUAAAGGGACUGCCGGUGUUAAACCGGAGGAAGGUGGGGGAUGACGUCAAGUCCUCAUGGCCUUUAUGACCAGGGCUACACACGUACUACAAUGGCCGAUACAAAGGGCAGCGACACUGCGAGGUGAAGCCAAUCCCGUAAAAUCGGUCUCAGUCCGGAUUGGAGUCUGCAACUCGACUCCAUGAAGUUGGAAUCGCUAGUAAUCGUGGAUCAGCAUGCCACGGUGAAUACGUUCCCGGGCCUU